UGAUUGACCAAUGAUGUAGUAUUUAUACAGUGAGUUCUUGGUUGGUUAGUAACGAGGAAACAAUAACAUUUGUCCGAAUAUAGGGAUUGAGCAAAGAUGGUUGGUUGAGUUAUUCUCUGAAUGACUUUAUACACAAAUUAGACAUAUAACAUAGGUAUACGUUAAUAUCGAUAAAUAUUAUGAUUAGUUGACUUUUAGCCAAUUAUGUCAUAUUUUUUAGGUACCAAUGAUGGCGGAG
This 238-nucleotide long non-coding RNA is filed under the name Elaeis guineensis (African oil palm). RNAcentral's name for it is "long non-coding RNA (EGUI_LNC012543)". The record is from RNAcentral. Lineage: Eukaryota; Viridiplantae; Streptophyta; Magnoliopsida; Arecales; Arecaceae.